This 742-nucleotide ribosomal RNA is filed under the name Macrocybe crassa. RNAcentral's name for it is "partial large subunit ribosomal RNA". It matches the Rfam family "Eukaryotic large subunit ribosomal RNA", at positions 81 to 807 of the family's 3401-position model. The record is from RNAcentral. Lineage: Eukaryota; Fungi; Basidiomycota; Agaricomycetes; Agaricales; Callistosporiaceae.
UAGUAACUGCGAGUGAAGCGGGAAGAGCUCAAAUUUAAAAUCUGACAGCCUUUGGUUGUCCGAGUUGUAAUCUAGAGAAGUGUUAUCCGCGCUGGACCGUGUACAAGUCUCCUGGAAUGGAACAUCAUAGAGGGUGAGAAUCCCGUCUUUGACACGGACUUCCAGGGCUUUUGUGAUACGCUCUCAAAGAGUCGAGUUGUUUGGGAAUGCAGCUCUAAAUGGGUGGUAAAUUCCAUCUAAAGCUAAAUAUUGGCGAGAGACCGAUAGCGAACAAGUACCGUGAGGGAAAGAUGAAAAGAACUUUGGAAAGAGAGUUAAACAGUACGUGAAAUUGUUGAAAGGGAAACGCUUGAAGUCAGUCGCAUUGACUAGGGAUCAACCUUGCUUUCUUGCUUGGUGUACUUCCUAGUUGAUGGGCCAGCAUCAAUUUUGACCAGUGGAUAAAGGUCAAAGGAAUGUGGCAUCUCUGGAUGUGUUAUAGCCUUUGAUUGUAUACAUUGGUUGGGAUUGAGGAACUCAGCACGCCGCAAGGCCGGGUUUCGACCACGAUCGUGCUUAGGAUGCUGGCAUAAUGGCUUUAAUCGACCCGUCUUGAAACACGGACCAAGGAGUCUAACAUGCCUGCGAGUAUUUGGGUGGCAAACCCAUGUGCGUAAUGAAAGUGAAGAUCAGGAUCUCUGUCAUGGAGAGCACUGAUGCCCGGACCAGACCUUUUGUGACGGAUCUGCGGUAGAGCAUGCAU